This 377-nucleotide unclassified non-coding RNA is filed under the name uncultured Oligoflexales bacterium. RNAcentral's name for it is "contains 16S-23S intergenic spacer region". Lineage: Bacteria; Pseudomonadati; Bdellovibrionota; Oligoflexia; Oligoflexales. The record is from RNAcentral.
UCCGGUUUAACACCGGCAGUCUCCAUAGAGUGCCCAACUGAAUGAUGGCAACUAGGGAUAAGGGUUGCGCUCGUUAAGGGACUUAACCCGACAUCUCACGAUACGAGCUGACGACAGCCAUGCAGCACCUGUCUCUCUGCCCAUUGCUGGGAGACCCUAUCUCUAGGGCUGUCAGAGGAUGUCAAGUCCAGGUAAGGUUCUUCGCGUUGCAUCGAAUUAAACCACAUGCUCCACCGCUUGUGCGGGCCCCCGUCAAUUCCUUUGAGUUUUAAUCUUGCGACCGUACUUCCCAGGCGGGGUACUUAAUGCGUUAGCUUCGACACUGGAGGGGUCAAUUCCCCCAACAUCUAGUACCCAUCGUUUACAGCGUGGACUAC